This 697-nucleotide small RNA is filed under the name Arabidopsis thaliana (thale cress). RNAcentral's name for it is "ATSL031890". The record is from RNAcentral. Lineage: Eukaryota; Viridiplantae; Streptophyta; Magnoliopsida; Brassicales; Brassicaceae.
AUAGAAUCAAUCCCGCAUUUUGAUUGAGCUUUCUCUUGCAUCUGAUCCAGUUUACUCUUAAGUUCCUCAACUGUCUAAGCUAGCUUCUCUAUGGUUUCUUCUUGCUCAUCAGAUUUCUUUUUGAGAUCUCGCAAGUCAGGUGUAGAGGUUGUGCUUGGCCUGGUGAUUGAAUCCGAAGGUUGAGGUUGAGCCCUGAUCUUUUCUUCUACAACCGUCCUUUGCGAAGUUUCGUUGAUGUCAAACUGCAGCUUGAUGUGCUUCCCAAGGUUGAGACUUAUUCUCCCGUCUUUGACAUCUAUCAUCGCUCCCACGUAGGCUAAAAAAGGUCUUCCUAGGAUUAAAGGAUCCUUAGGUUCUGCUUCCAUCUCAAGCACAACGAAAUCUGUAGGUACUUCCACUCCAUUAAUCAUUACUGCAGAUCUUGUAGCAGGCCAAAGGGUUUCCUUGAAGACCUAUCAGCAAGGAUCAAGGUCAGGUCGCAAGGCCUAUACUGAGUGAAUUCCAGCUUCCUUGCCACGGAGAGUGGCAUUAAGCUUACUGAAGCUCCCAAAUCACAUAGACAAUUGUUGAAAACCAAUUGACCAAUGGAACACGGUAGAGUGAAAGUUCCAGGAUCUUCCAGUUUUUCUUGAACACUCCUCUUAACAGUGGUCCUAGACGGAUUAGCAUCACAUUCGUCUUCUGAUUCUUGAUAAAU